AACAUCGCGCACCUGCGGGAACCUGCGGAGGGAUCGUUACAGAGUUGCAAAACUCCCUAAACCAUUGUGAACGUUACCUAAACCGUUGCUUCGGCGGGCGGCCCGGGUCCUUCCCGGCGCCCAUCGGCCCUCGCGGGCGCCCGCCGGAGGUAAACCAAACUAUUGCAUUGUAUGGCCUCUCUGAGUCUUCUGUACUGAAUAAGUCAAAACUUUCAACAAUGGAUCUCAGAUCGGAAGAGC
This 240-nucleotide unclassified non-coding RNA is filed under the name soil metagenome. Its description in RNAcentral is "partial contains 5.8S ribosomal RNA, internal transcribed spacer 2, and large subunit ribosomal RNA". The record is from RNAcentral.